GCGAACGGGUGAGUAACACGUGACAUCUGCCCUGACUCUGGGAUAAGCGCUGGAAACGGCGUCUAAUACUGGAUACGAGCCGUGAAGGCAUCUUCAACGGUUGGAAAGAUUUUUCGGUCAGGGAUGAGCUCGCGGCUAUCAGCUUGUUGGUGAGGUAAUGGCUCACCAAGGCGUCGACGGGUAGCCGGCCUGAGAAGGGUGACCGGCCACACUGGGACUGAGAACACGGCCCAAAACUCCUACGGGAGGCAGCAGUGGGGAAUAUUGCACAAUGGGCGCAAGCCUGAUGCAGCAACGCCGCGUGAGGGAUGACGGCCUUCGGGUUGUAAACCUCUUUUAGCAGGGAAGAAGCGAAAGUGACGGUACCUGCAGAAAAAGCGCCGGUAACUACGUGCCACAGCCGGGAAAUACGUAGGGGGCGGCAAGCGUUAAUCCGGAAUUAUGGGCGUAAAGAGCUCGUAAGGCGGUUUGCCGGCGUCUGCUGGUGAGAUCCCGGAGGGUCAAACCCUCGGGGUCUGGCAGGGGGUACGGGGCAGACUAAAGUGCGGGCAGGGGACGAUGGGAAAUCCNGGUGUAGGGGGGAUGGGCAAAAAUACCAGG
Molecule: ribosomal RNA, 600 nt
Filed under: uncultured bacterium
Lineage: Bacteria
Description: bacterial SSU rRNA
Rfam family: Bacterial small subunit ribosomal RNA
Source: RNAcentral